Molecule: ribosomal RNA, 507 nt
Filed under: Eupholus schoenherrii mimikanus
Lineage: Eukaryota; Metazoa; Arthropoda; Insecta; Coleoptera; Curculionidae
Description: partial 16S ribosomal RNA
Rfam family: Bacterial large subunit ribosomal RNA
Source: RNAcentral
CUGCCCAAUGAGGAAUUAAAUGGCCGCGGUACUUUGACCGUGCAAAGGUAGCAUAAUCAUUAGUUUUUUAAUUGAAAGCUGGUAUGAAGGGUUGGAUGAGAGAAUGACUGUCUCUAUUUAAAUUGUUUAGAAUUUUAUUUUUAAGUAAGAAAGCUUAAAUAUUGAUAGAAGACGAGAAGACCCUAUAGAGUUUUAUAGAUCUUAGUUUGGAGAGAUUUUAGAAUUAAUAAAUUUUUAUGUUAAGAUUUAUUUAGUUGGGGCGAUUGAAAAAUUUAAAAAACUUUUUUUAAUUAUUUAAACAUUAAUUUAUGGUUAGAUGAUCCUUAUUUAAAGAUUAAAAGAAAAAAUUACCUUAGGGAUAACAGCGUAAUUUUUUUAAAGAGUUCAAAUCGAAAAAAAAGAUUGCGACCUCGAUGUUGGAUUAAAAUAAAAUUUUGGUGUAGGAGCUAAAAAAUUUGGGUCUGUUCGACCCUUAAAAUUUUACAUGAUCUGAGUUUAAACCGGUGU